RNAcentral lists this long non-coding RNA (1095 nucleotides) under Pogona vitticeps (central bearded dragon). RNAcentral describes it as "lncRNA (ENSPVIG00000010638.1)". The record is from RNAcentral. Lineage: Eukaryota; Metazoa; Chordata; Lepidosauria; Squamata; Agamidae.
CCCCGUCUGCGCUUCUUAUUGCUGAGACAGCCGGCGACAAAGGAGGCGUAGGAGACCAAGAAUCGGGUGGGAAAUGUCGGCACUCGUGUCAAGAGGCAAAGGCCAGGCAGGGGUGGGGAGACAGGGCUGGCGGGCGCGACCAGAAGUUGCAGAAAAGGACCCAGCGGCCAGCGUAUUCGACGGAGAACCUGCUCAGCUUAUUAAGACCGCUUCAAACUGCCUCGCAGCCAAGCAGGCAUGGAAUGACGUGGAAAAAGGCACCUGGUGUUUCCCCAUAUGGACCCAGAACGGCCCGCCGCCUCUCGUGGAACGUGGAAGGGCUUCCUUUUAGGCGGUGGUGGAGAAAAGAAGGCAAGGCCCCUCCCUGUGGAAAGGGCUGGGCGGGUGGCAGCAAAAGGAGGACCAUUAUCCCCAUCCAGGGAACAACCGGGUCAUAGUGCAAGGAAUGGAAAAGGGCCUGGAAGAUGUCCUAACCUCAGAUCACAAAGGAUGUGGACGAAGGAAGGACCAAGAGCCAUUAAGCAACAGCCUCACACACAUGGGUGACUCUGCUGCCCUCGCCUUUAAUCUUUUGGAACCAACCGUUCCGCUAGCCUGCCCUCAAGAUUAAAACAACAACAACAACAACGUGUGGCCUCAACUCAGGGAAGGCUUUCUUUCUUUCUGCGACCCUCCUUCCCCUCCUGCCACCCAAGGAUGUGUUUUGGUGAAAUCAGCACAUCUCCCGGCCUGACCCAGCCAAGGGCUUGUCUCAAAAGCCUAACGUGGACCCUUUUGCAUAGUCUGGCUUUACUGCAGUCACGGAUCACCAGACAGGGCAUCAGGCCACGGACAGGAAGGCCUCCGGAUGCGACACCCCCCCAGGCUGCUCCUUCUGGCCGAGCAAGUGGGCCCUUCACUCUGAAUCACGGCAAGGAGGAUUCUGAGAAGGGGAAGAUCAGGAGGGCCUCUGGGGGCCAAGAGGGCAGGGCUCCUGUCUCAAUGGCUCGGGUGCUGGUCAGUGUGUCCAUUCUCAGCACCUCUAUGAACCUAAGCAACAAGCGCAACCGUGUUCAAAUGGCAAAAGCUGGUGGGUGCCCUUGGCCACACAUUUAG